RNAcentral lists this ribosomal RNA (463 nucleotides) under uncultured bacterium. RNAcentral's name for it is "bacterial SSU rRNA". It matches the Rfam family "Bacterial small subunit ribosomal RNA", at positions 331 to 792 of the family's 1533-position model. The record is from RNAcentral.
CCAGACUCCUACGGGAGGCAGCAGUGAGGAAUAUUGGUCAAUGGGCGAGAGCCUGAACCAGCCAAGUCGCGUGAGGGAGUACUGCCCUAUGGGUUGUAAACCUCUUUUGUCGGGGAGCAAAAGCCGGACGUGUCCGGCUGCGAGAGUACCCGAAGAAAAAGCAUCGGCUAACUACGUGCCAGCAGCCGCGGUAAUACGUAGGGGGCGAGCGUUAUCCGGAUUCACUGGGUGUAAAGGGAGCGUAGACGGCCGUGCAAGCCAGGAGUGAAAGCCCGGGGCCCAACCCCGGGACUGCUCUUGGAACUGUGCGGCUGGAGUGCGGGAGGGGCAGGCGGAAUUCCUGGUGUAGCGGUGAAAUGCGUAGAUAUCAGGAGGAACACCGGCGGCGAAGGCGGCCUGCUGGACCGCGACUGACGUUGAGGCUCGAAAGCGUGGGGAGCGAACAGGAUUAGAUACCCGAGUA